GCAUGGAGCCUGCUUCUCCCUCUGCCUAUGUCUCUGCCUCUCUCUCUCUGUGUCUCUCAUGAAUAAAUAAAUAAAAUCUUAAAAAAAAAAAAGAUUUUAUUUAAAAAACUCCACCUAGGAGUCUAAAUAAAUAAAUAAAAUCUUUAUUUUUAAUUUUUUAAAAGAUUUUAUUUAUUUAUUCAUGAGAGACACACAGAGAGAGGCAUAGACACACAGGCAGAGGGAGAAGCAGGCUCCAUGCAGGGAGCCAGACGAGGGACAGCUGAGCCGAAGGUAGAUGCUCAACCACAGAGCCACCCAGGCGUCCCCCGCCCCCAAUUUUUUUUUUUGAGCCGAGGACUGUUGGUUAGGAGAGCGACUGAAAGCCAGAGCAUCUCAAAAGGUGGUACAGCAAGUGCAAAGACUAAUCAGGCAAGAAACGCUGGACUCGAAACCGGAGUUUGGAUUUGGAGCCUCUGGUCCGGGCUAUUCCUGCCUUUCUGGAGACGAUCAUCUAGUGUGGGAGCCAAUAAAUCAAUAAUGCCAAUAAAUCAAUGCAUAAAUUUAUUUGAUAAGUGAACAAUGCAAUAGAAGCCCCAAGGUGCUGCCCGUGAUCAGGAGACGUCUACUUCUGGAAUAGAAGGCUCUGCAGGGGUUCCGGGGAGGAAAAGAGCUGGUGGAAGAAAUGGAUUUGGAGCCCAUCCUUGGAGAACGCUCCAGUUGGGAUCAGCAGGGAAGGAGAAUAUAUACCAGCAGAAGGAAUGAGGAGGACGGUGGGAUUUCUACUUCUAGUAAUGAUGGGCUGUUAUUUGGACCAACGUUCCCACUGAAAGCAACUGCAAAUGCUUUACAAAAGACUUUUUAAAUCUCCUUAACAAUAUCACAAAUAGGGCAGCCCCGGUGGCGCAGCGGUUUAGCGCCGCCUGCAGCCCGGGCGUGAUCUUGGAGACCCUGGAUCGAGUCCCAGGUCAGGCUCUCUGCAUGGAGCCUGCUUCUCCCCCUGCCUGUGUCUCUGCCCCCCCCCCCGUCUCUAUGAAUAAAUAAAUAAAAUCUUUUAAAAAAACAAUAUCACAAAUAUGUGACAAGAGAGCUAUACAUUUCCAGGGCAAAGCCUAAGGGAAAGUGGGAUUCCCAGAAAGGCACUGGAAUAUAGGACAGAGGUAACCCAGAAUGCAGAAAAGAGAGGCAGAGAAAGAAAAGAAGUUGAGAGACAUGAAGGAUA
Molecule: long non-coding RNA, 1201 nt
Filed under: Canis lupus familiaris (dog)
Lineage: Eukaryota; Metazoa; Chordata; Mammalia; Carnivora; Canidae
Description: lncRNA (ENSCAFG00000046349.2)
Source: RNAcentral